UUAACUGAAGAAUCAUCUUCAAAUAUGCUGCUACCUGACAUAGUCACACUUUUAAAAAUAAGGAUCAGUGCAUUUUUCCCGAAAAAAAGAAAAAGGAUCAGCGCAAAUCAAAUGCAGAGUCCAGAAGCUGCUGGUGUCUUCUCCACAAGACCACAAUACGGGACCAACCCAAUUCCGGCCCAACCGACGAACACAGUCCAGUGACCUCGGGUCUUCACGGGAAGACGAGAGAAAUCUCCAGAAGCGUGCUUUCUCCUUCUCCGCCGUAUCAUCCCUAGCUCUCUACUAUAAAUUCUCCCCCGUGCCGCUCGACAGGAUAUACUCCCAGAAAGAGCCGAAUAUUCGUAGGAGAGGACGAGCUCGCCUGCUCACUUUAUCUCCGUGCGCUCGUUUGUAUCGGGAUCCCAGCACAUGGUUGUAUGGACAGUAAUUAGGCUCCAGGAAAAUACCGUGUUGACCCCACAGCGCACGGCCGUGCCGUUUGGUCGGGAUGACGGACGGCGCCAGAUCACAUCCAGUACCCACCGCACAGGAAAGGUCCGCCGUCAUGUGCCGUACAGUACCGUCUGCCACUGGCCACGGCCACUCCGACCGAACAGAAGAUUGUCGAGCUGUGCACCAAGAGGCUGCUGCUAUGAUUAAAAACUUGAUGCACCGAUUUGACAAGAUUUCGUUAGGUACAUUAUGUGCAGGCAAGAAUUCAUCACACAACCUUGCUACAAAAUAGCUAAAGCAUGGCAAUCCGAGACAUAACUUAAUACAGAUGCAGCAAAAUUAUUCGGUCAUCUUAAUAUAGCCAUAACAUAACCUGCAAAAAAUAUAUAUAUAUACAACCAUAACAUGCUAACAACAAAUCCAGCAGCUCCCAUGAUCUGCAAUGAUCUCUUUUGAACUGUGAAACUGAUCAUACCUGAGAAAAAUAACAAAUUUUUGUGCUCUGAAUCUUGUAACAUUGCAUGCUCAUAAACAUGAACAAACUACUCCCUCCGUUCCUAAAUAUAAGUUUUUUUAGUGGUUUCAAAUGAACUACAACAUACGGAUGUAUGUAGACAUAUUUUAGAAUAUAGAUUCUCUAAUUUUGCUUCGUAUGUAGUCCCUUAUUGAAAUCUCUAAAAAGACUUAUAUUUAGGAAUGGAGGGAGUAGUAGAUAUAUUUUCACAACUAGGAAAUUAGAGCAAAGAAGACAAGAGCGUUUCCUCCAAAAAAAUUGUAAUCUGCCUAAUGAUAAUGAUUUCAUUGAAAACAUGUAGACUAUGUUGACGAGCCUGGCACACACAACAUCUAAUUAGAAAAAUCUUCUAUACAAACAGAUCACUUGGCUUUGACUAGAAUAGUUCUAUACUGGCUGGCUGGUUGGACAAGCAUGCCCAUCAGUCAAAACUCAAAACCAUUCAAGCAAAAUUGACAUGUAUUCUGUCUGGAGUAGCAAUGUGAAAUAUGAUAAAGCUAUGUCAGGGAAAUUAGGAAGAACGUAAAAAAAGGAAAAGCAGGAACAAAAAAUUAGAUCCUUUUUACUGUCUUUCUUUGAGCAGUGAGAAAUGACCAAAAAGUAUGUUUUUUAGCACAGAAGAACCAUCAUAUGAACAAAUAAUGUAUAUAUGAGCAGUAUUUUUUGCUUAAUCUUUUUUUUUUCAAUUGGGUUUCAAUGGAAACAAAGUCAUUUGUUGUAAUACACUCGCGACACCGAUUGCCAGUGAUUGGCUUCUUUUCCCGCUGACACGUGCUUACGUAUAAUGUAUACAGGUUUAGGAAAAAUCCUAGCUUACAAGACAAAAUCGAAUUGUAAAAUUGGACGUACCACUAGUAGCUCACAUUGUAAAUCAGCAGCCUUAUCACUGCCAGGCACUCACAUCGCAAGAUCGAGUACUUCUUCGGCUUCCCCUGCCAAAAAUAUAAAAGAGUCCACAUGAAACACGCCAACUAUGUCGGCCUACCAGGAAAUGUCUAGAAGACGAACAUGACACUCACACCAAUUUCAAAGCGCGAUCCCAUUAUGCUCGCGUCUGUGCGUUUGGUCCCAAAUGGACAGACCGCACGGCCCAAUGCGCGACCCCAUCAUUACUUUUUGUCUAUUUCACGUCUGGUCCGCUUCAUUUCCUGCUCAAACAUCCACCGGCUUUGCGUCCACACGGACGACGAACGGACGCCGACGCGCUCGCUCAGCGUUCGCUUCGAGCCCGUGUGGCAGCUACGCACCUACCAUCCACCACACACAUUUACCGCGCACAUGUGGGCAGCCCUACUUGGCAGCCAUCCCGGUCGAGCAGUCGUCGUCCUUUUUAAUGUGAAGGUCGUGGACCGAUGGAGUCCACACUUCCACUUCCCCGGUGAUGCGUGCCUCCUCGUAGCCCGACAGCCAAACCCUAGCCCACCGCUCCUCUACCUCCCCACCAGCGACAAUGGUGGGCCGCUGGUUUCCCGGCCGCAAGACGAGGCACGACCACAAGGCCAGGUCCUUGUCUGGCGGCGUCGCCGCUUCCCCACUCCA
This 2488-nucleotide long non-coding RNA is filed under the name Triticum aestivum (bread wheat). Its description in RNAcentral is "long non-coding RNA (TAES_LNC001223)". The record is from RNAcentral. Lineage: Eukaryota; Viridiplantae; Streptophyta; Magnoliopsida; Poales; Poaceae.